RNAcentral lists this ribosomal RNA (401 nucleotides) under uncultured bacterium. Its description in RNAcentral is "bacterial SSU rRNA". It matches the Rfam family "Bacterial small subunit ribosomal RNA", at positions 362 to 756 of the family's 1533-position model. The record is from RNAcentral.
UCUUCGGCAAUGGACGCAAGUCUGACCGAGCAACGCCGCGUGAGUGAAGAAGGUUUUCGGAUCGUAAAACUCUGUCGUAAGAGAACCCCGUUGAUGAGAGUGGAAAGUUCAUCAAGUGACGGUAUCUUACCAGAAAGCCACGGCUAACUACGUGCCAGCAGCCGCGGUAAUACGUAGGUGGCAAGCGUUGUCCGGAUUUAUUGGGCGUAAAGCGAGCGCAGGCGGUUGAUUAAGUCUGAUGUGAAAGCCCCCGGCUCAACCGGGGAGGGUCAUUGGAAACUGGUCAACUUGAGUGCAGAAGAGGCGAGUGGAAUUCCAUGUGUAGCGGUGAAAUGCGUAGAUAUAUGGAGGAACACCAGGGCGAAGGCGGCUCUCUGUCUGUAACUGACGCUGAGGCUCGA